CACCGCCUGGGGAGUACGACCGCAAGGUUAAAACUCAAAUGAAUUGACGGGGACCCGCACAAGCAGUGGAGCAUGUGGUUUAAUUCGAAGAUACGCGCAGAACCUUACCAACACUUGACAUGUUCGUCGCGACUCUAAGAGAUUGGAGUCUUCGGUUCGGCCGGACGAAACACAGGUGCUGCAUGGCUGUCGUCAGCUCGUGUCGUGAGAUGUUGGGUUAAGUCCCGCAACGAGCGCAACCCUUACUUUUAGUUGCUACCAUUCAGUUGGGCACUCUAAAAGAACUGCCAGUGAUAAGCUGGAGGAAGGCGGGGAUGACGUCAAGUCCUCAUGGCCCUUACGUGUUGGGCUACACACGUGCUACAAUGGUAUUUACAAUGGGAAGCAAAGAGGCGACUCCAAGCAAAUCCCAAAAAGAUACCUCAGUUCGGAUUGUACUCUGCAACUCGAGUGCGUGAAGCUGGAAUUGCUAGUAAUCGCGGAUCAGCGCGCCGCGGUGAAUACGUUCCCGGGUCUUGUACACACCGCCCGUCACACCAUGGAAGUUGGUUACACCUUAAGGCAAAGUGUAAAACCUUUGACUACGGUACGAUCAGCGACUGGGGUGAAGUCGUAACAAGGUAGCCGUAGGGGAACCUGCGGCUGGAUCACCUCCUUUCUAAGGAAAUCGGAAAAUAUCAAAACAAUUAUUUUUCGAUUUAAAAAAAACCGGUAAUGUGACCGUCCUCAUUUCUCUUCUUUUAAUGUCUCUGGGUACAAAUUAAGGGGCCGGUAGCUCAGGUGGUUAGAGCGCACCCCUGAUAAGGGUGAGGUCGGAAGUUCGAAUCUUCCUCGGCCCACCAAAAGUUUCGGGGGAUUAGCUCAGCUGGGAGAGCGCCUGAUUUGCAUUCAGGAGGUCAGCGGUUCGAUCCCGCUAUCCUCCACCAAAUUUGAGACAUUCAGCUUUUUUAAAUCGUGAAUAUUAUUAUUAUCAAUAUCUAUAUCCGAUUGUUUUCAGAUAUUUUUUUGAAAACAAUCAAAACAAAAAUUUAAUUUAUUGCAGAAAAAUUUUUUUCUG
This 1057-nucleotide small RNA is filed under the name uncultured Pelagibacterales bacterium. RNAcentral describes it as "bacterial SSU rRNA". The stretch from base 1 to 658 matches the Rfam family "Bacterial small subunit ribosomal RNA", at positions 867 to 1533 of the family's 1533-position model. Lineage: Bacteria; Pseudomonadati; Pseudomonadota; Alphaproteobacteria; Candidatus Pelagibacterales. The record is from RNAcentral.